GUUGGCGUUUGCAGCCCGGAUCUCUUCCCUAUCUUAUUCCUUUCCGUUCUUAGUUUCUAUAUUAAACUCUAUAGUUAUAUACAUUUGGAGUAUUCCGUUCUGUUAGAUGCUCAUGACUAGUGGCACCCCGGUAUCGGGCUGUGUUGGGUUAUUUUCCGCACACUUUACUAUUAUCUGCUACUUUGAGAUGUUAUUAUUACGCUUCGGACUUAUUUCUUGUCGUUUAUCUGUUAAUAAUUGAAAUGGGAAGUGUCGGCUGGCCUUGUCUUCACGAGAGGCUCUAUUACGACCGGGUUUGGGUUUAAGGUCGUGACAUACACGGUUGACAUGUUAUAGUUUUAAAACACAUGUUAUAAGUGCCAAAAUUGCUAACGGUGAUUUUCAAAAUAGGCAUGUUUUUAUUCCAAGAAUACAACUAUUAGCAUCACAAGAUGAAAAAUUCCAUUUGCUUUUAAUAGAACAUAAUUUCCAGUACGAUUGUGCUUUGCUGACUUUAAAUAAAGCUCAAAAUCAAACUUUGGAUUUUGUUGGAAUUUGUUUACGUGAACCAGUUUUUUCCUAUUGUCAACUUUAUGUUGCUUUAUCAAGAGCUAAAAGUUCAAAAGGUAUGAAACUAUUAAUUCGACUGCUGACAUCAGACACCGAGGAUGAUCACUCAACCUAUAACAUAGUUUAUGAUGAAGUUAUUCAAAAAGCAUUCAAUUAACUGAUGCCAGGUAAUAAUUUUUAUGCUUCACAUGCCACAAAAAUAUAUGUGAUGUUCACUUUAUACAACUCUGUUAAAUUCUAAAGUCAUUUGUACCUAUUUGGCACUUACUGUUUUAAUAAUUGUUACUGUUGACGGUUUAGGUGUAUUAUUUGAUGGAAAACAUAUGAUAUUUGUAGCAAAAAUACUCAAGUAAGAAUCUAAGGGGCAACAGCUAAAAGAGUAAUAAUUUUGGUCAUUUCGCUGAUAUUCUCUGUGGAUAACUACUUGGUUCUUUUAAAAAAAAAUUAAAGGUUUGAUUCUUUGUCAGUAAAGAAUAUAGUUUUUUAACUUAAUUUUGGUGAAAUAAGAAAGUUUGUGAAAAAAAUGAAUAAUGUUUUCUCUAAUGUCUAGAGUUACCAUUUAGCAUUGCCCUGCUAUUAUCUGUUUUAGUACUCUUAUUACUUGUAGCGGGAUUUUCUUAUUUAUGUUUCUUCUGAUGUAUUGCUCCAAUGCCAUCCACACCAUUGUUCAUUUUUUCUAUGUUUUAGCCCUCCUUUCAGUACCUAGCAAUGCCAUCCUGACCUAUUCAAUUUUGUAAUGCUUCAUCAUUUGGAGUCGAGAUAUCCAUCAGUUCAGCAAGACAAACAUGAAGGGAUGUAUGGCAUUGUUAGCCAAUUGGGUGUUGGAAAUGCUAUCCUAAUUAUCCUUCAACUCUUCUUUGCUGCUAUCAUCCUUAUGUGCUUAGAUGAACUUCUUCAGGAAGAUAUGCUUUUAGCUUCUGGAAUUUCCUUGUUCAUACCUACCAAUAUCUGGCAAGUUUCUUACAGGCCACCAUAAAGAUUUUCUUGGGUUCCUCAAUACAAUCUUGGAGCUUUUGAUUUCUCGUUUAUUAUAUUUUGCUGUGAAAGCAUUAUCUAGAAAGCCUUUAGUCCCACAACCAUCAAUGGCAGGCGUGAUGCUAAAUUUGAAGGUGCUAUUAUUCUUUUAUUCCAUCAUACUAUUACUAGAUCAUAUAAGAUCAGUGCCAUUCGAGACGCGUCCUAUCAGCAAAGUCUUCCCAAUCUGACAAAUCUGCUUGCAAGUAUGCUGAUCUUCCUUCGUGAUGCUAAUGAAAAAAUUAUGCUUACAUUGUGAUACAACUCAACCCACGACAAACACAAGGAGUACAUCAAGUGCUACUCAGUUCACAUAUCUACUAAGAGGGUAUCUAUGAAUUAAAUAAUCAAGUGAAAGAUAUAAGAGUCUUCUGCGGAGAAGGUUCCCAAAAGAGAACGGACUUGAGUCCGAUAAGUGACUGCAGUGAUCAAUCCAACACUAGGUUUGGUUGAUAAAAAGGCAUAAAAGAAUGCAAACAAGUUCACCUAAGCAUCUUUGUUGAUCAGGUUUGUCAAAUUGCUCCUACUCGGUCUGCUGACUCACACUCCCUAUAAAGGCCAUCUGGUAUUUUCGCUUUUGGGUAAAUGGUGGGCAAUAUCCGAUUUCACUUCUCUUUCCCGUACGAUUAUUCAGGGACUGUGUAAACACCGUGCUCUUCAACUGAAGUUUCUGUGUGGAAUUGGCUACUGUCAUGUUGGUGCCCUCUCAUUGGUGAUAAACAACUUCAAUAAAAUGUGUCAUGUUACUCAUUUCAAGACUUCUCAAAAUCUCUUCGGAAAUAGAACAACACAUCCUUAUCUUAUUCAGACCAUUGUGUACAAUAAUGGCAGUGAUGAAUGUAAGAUGAGGCAUCUUCUCUGGUUUGACCCUACUCUGGACUUCCAUUGUGUACUAUAAUUUCAAAAAAGUUUCAAGUUGAACAAAUUUAUGUAAGCACAACAUAUUUUAGAUUAAGAUAUAGUUAAUGACGAUCAAUACUCUUUUGAA
Non-coding RNA from Nicotiana tabacum (common tobacco), 2551 nucleotides. NCBI's taxonomy places the organism in Eukaryota, Viridiplantae, Streptophyta, Magnoliopsida, Solanales, Solanaceae. The record is from RefSeq and is a predicted model, not a curated record.